ACAGAGGGUGCAAGCGUUAAUCGGAAUUACUGGGCGUAAAGCGCGCGUACGCGGCUGUUUAAGUCGGGUGUGAAAGCCCCGGGCUCAACCUGGGAACUGCAUUCGAUACUGGACGGCUAGAGUAUGAAAGAGGGAGGUAGAAUUCCACGUGUAGCGGUGAAAUGCGUAGAUAUGUGGAGGAAUACCGGUGGCGAAGGCAAUCCCCUGGGCCUGCACUGACGCUCAUGCACGAAAGCGUGGGGAGCAAACAGGA
This 253-nucleotide ribosomal RNA is filed under the name uncultured prokaryote. RNAcentral describes it as "partial 16S ribosomal RNA". It matches the Rfam family "Bacterial small subunit ribosomal RNA", at positions 525 to 777 of the family's 1533-position model. The record is from RNAcentral.